CAGUCAUGGUGGUCUUCCUUAGGGAGCCC
RNAcentral lists this non-coding RNA (29 nucleotides) under Mus musculus (house mouse). The record is from RNAcentral. Lineage: Eukaryota; Metazoa; Chordata; Mammalia; Rodentia; Muridae.